Cordylochernes scorpioides is the source of this 12965-nucleotide non-coding RNA. The record is from the annotation of a GenBank genome assembly. NCBI's taxonomy places the organism in Eukaryota, Metazoa, Arthropoda, Arachnida, Pseudoscorpiones, Chernetidae.
UAUAAAACAAUGGACUGGAUGACCGAUGAAGUGUUGUCAAGCCCAUGGAAGCAGACAGUCCCUCAGAAUGAUGUCUUGAUAGACUUUUUUUAGUCGAUUUUGACAUUUCUAUCAAUGAAAACCAGUGGGGUCUUGCCUUCAGAAGUGACUCCGGACCAUGAUAGAUUUCGGAAACUUGAGUCUCGUGUGCACCCAACGUUUCCUGGAAGCCUUGUAUGAAAAAAGUGAAAGUUGUAUAAGCUUAUGAUUUUGCUUUGUUUUAAAAAUGAAUCGAUGUUGAUUCCAUAUGCUUGAAUUGAAUAUUACACCUUAGUUCUAUAUAUUUUAUUGCUUAAAAAGGAACACAACAAAACAAAAAAGAAACUACAAUUGCAAAUGAUUUGAUAACUAAGAAAAAAAUAUUAGUAUUAAAAAUUGGUAGUUCUAUUUUAGGCAAAUUAGCAUAAUUCUUAUUAACUGCAUUGUUACUUAGAGGUAAAUUUGCAUCAUUGUGAAAAUGUUGAGUAAACCGAAGAAUUUUCACCUCUAGUUUACAAUAUUUAUCGGUUACUUCCUCUAUUUGUAAUAAAAGCUUGUCUGUAUCCUUUAUCCCCAUAAAAUAUUCAUAUGCUUGUUCCAACUGCUGUUUAAUCUUCUCGGUCUUUUUUAAUAUUGCAUCGAGUUCAAGACAAUCGGCUGCGUUGUUUUCUAUUUCCUUUUCUAAAUUAAGACCUAGUCUUUUGAUUCUUCUUAUUUCUGUUUCUGGAUCCAUGAGGUUGACUUACCUUAUCAUGUUUCUAUCCGGCUCGAGGGACCAAUGUAUGAAAAAGUGAAAGUUAUAUAAGCUUAUGAUUUUGCUUUGUUUUAAAAAUGAAUCGAUGUUGGUUCCAUAUGAUGGAAUUGAAUAUUACACCAUAGUUCUAUAAGCCUUGUUUCCUGGAGGCAGAUGGUGGUUUUGGGAGUUGUGGGCGACUUCAACUGUGAGAAUCUUCUCAUCCUUCCACACAAUGUCAGGACGCCGGCCCACUCAAAUCAUUGAGAUCAAUUUCUUUGCCUUGUCCAAGCUAUUCUUCAUUUUAGCUUCGGAAAAGGUUUGCCCACGGUAAAGACAAUAGCUGCGAAGUCCCAGAUCACGUUUCAACAAUAUUCUGCACUCUUUCCCUAGAGAUUCUGAGGACAGGAGUGAUGCGAUUCAUGCUGAUGCCGUCAUUUCAGGCAAUCCUUUUCUUUAUGAUCUUCCGUGUUGCAGAAGUGUUGACCAUUCAUGGACAGCCCGAUUUUGGAAGCACUCCAUAAUGUCCUCGCUCCCGGUAUUACUUUACAAUCCUUCUAACAAUUCUGGCGUUGAUCUUGAGCCGGCAAGUGAUGUCUGAAGGGCAAACACCUUCGUCGGUCAGGUGCGCAAUCUUAGCGCGAUGAGGUGAAGUAUGGAUAAUUAAAAAUAAAAGACGUUGGAAUCUCUUUACCUUCUAGGGACACAGUUUAUUAACAUUAGCCUUUCGAAACACCAUGAAUUCACGCCGCCACGCACUUUAAAUACUGUUCUUAAGUUCAUAAAUAAAGAGGACCAUACUUUUUCAGCCACCCUGUACAUUAUCUGAAGGUGGUCUACAAAUGUUAGGGAAUUUGGUUAGAAUAGCACUGAAUUUGGAUGAUGAAUUCAGGGUGCUAAUAUUUCCCAUAUCUGAGAGAUUGACUGAAUAAUGACUCUUAUAGAAAGAUUAGUUAUUCCAUCAAUUAAGCGUUUAUUUUUUAUAUCAAUUAUCAAUCCAAAGUUGUUCAAAAAGUCUGCUCCUAUUAUAGCUCUAUUGGUAUUGGCGAUUACAAAAGGCCAUUGGAAUUGACGUCGGUCUGAUAUCCAAAUUUCAAAUUUUUGUUCCAUAGGUAACAAUUUCUGUACCAUUGGCUGCAUAAAGUUUAUAAUCAGAACUAGGCAUCCUAUUUUUAUCCUUUGGUGGUAUUAUAGAGAUAUCAGCACCACUGUCCACCAAAAAGCGCAAUCCCAUGUUUUUGUCUGUCACAAAUAAUCGGAGAUUGCGACAAUCCUUAAUGUUGGCGGAAGAGUUUGUCGCUACUCUUUCCACUGGUUGGAGUUUUCCCGACUCUUUCCAACUGCAUGGAGGCCUGCAUUUAUUUUGCAUGCAAUUAGGGCCAAAGUGAAAAUGGUAAUAGCAAUAUUUCCCUUUUGGAUUGAAGGAUCUUUGAGAAUUGCUUCUCGGCCUUGACUGAGUCCUAGUUUUGGAUCGAGAUCUUGAUCUCUCCAGUCUCAAUUUGGACACUUGUCGUUCAAGAUCUUCCAAUUUGGCGAUCAAGCAAUCUGUUGAGGAAGGAGACACUUCCGCAUCAAAUAUUUCUUUGGAAGAGUUUAUUUCAUUUAUUUGAUCAGCCAUUAUGGCCAAUUUGAUAAUGUCCUCAUCGCUUACAAUAAGUAUAGUCUUAAUGGAUAUUGGCAAUUUAUCGAGCCAUAAAGUUUAUCAAAUUGUCAAAGACAUCAGGGGUAGCGAGGGAUCUGAGCUUUUGUAAUAAUUGGCUCAACUUCAUGUCUUUGAGUUCAAUACCAGAAAUUAACUUUAUUUCUGAAUUCUUCACUUUCUUUGAACAAUUCAAGUAGUCAUGAUUUACAUUCAGAAUACUUGUUGUCAAUUUUGCUAUUAAUUAUGUCCCAAAUGUUUUCUAUAUAUUUUGGUUCUAAUUGAGAGAUUAAAUUUUGUUUUUCUUCCUGAAUGAUUCCACUUAUUUUAAACUGCGCCUCUACCUGAAAGAACCAUUUUUCAGGUACUCCAACCCAAAAAGGCGGUAUUUUGAUACCAACUUUGCAUAUUUCUUAGGUUUCAUUGCUACGGUUCUUUUCUGUUUCCAUCUUAUGUAAAUUUGGAAAUCGAUACAACAGCUAGAUGUAAGUAGAGAUAAAGUUAGGGAUAAAAAUAAUACAAACAAUUACAGGGUGUCCUCAAAAUUUUCACGGUGAUACACAUCUUGGUUGAUUUUGUCCCCCUAAUCCAUGAAAGUGAAGGGAAUCAUGUCAUUGGCGCUAAUCCCAUACCAUAACCUACUGUUAAUUUUGACGAUGACUGACAUGCCAGGAGCCUCAGCAGACCAGCUCUUGUUGUUUUGAUGGUCGUGCGCCUGCUCGUGGUUGAUCAGUUUCUAAUUCAUGAAGAGGAUGUGGUCCCAUCACUGACCAGUGGCCGGAUGCUUGAAUUGCCGACAUCUCUCCAGCUAUAUGCGCUUGUUGUCAUCCGUGAAGAACUGAACCUUUUGGAGCUUGGGAAGCUUGAGGUUACGUUCCUUUUUCGCUAUUCGAUGUACUGAGAGGCAAUUUUUUUCUGAAGGCCCUUGAAUUACAUUGAAGUCACUUUUUGAUCUCACAGUUGACAGAAGUGUUGGCAAUGCGCUUUCUUCCUCUUCCAGCACAAUCGCCUUCAUGGCCAAAUGUGAGAGGAGCUGGUUCUAUGUUACCUUAAUUUAGGAGAUUAGGGUGUCAGCUUUGACAGUGUUGGUGAGAGGAGAUGGUUCUAUGGUACCUUAAUUUAGGAGAUUAGGGUGUCAGCUUUGACAGUGUUGGUGAGAGGAGGUGGUUCUAUGUUACCUUAAUUUAGGAGAUUAGGGUGUCAGCUUUGACAGUGUUGGUGAGAGGAGAGGUGGUUCUAUGUUACCUUAAUUUAGGAGAUUAGGGUGUCAGCUUUGACAGUGUUGGUGAGAGGAGGUGGUUCUAUGUUACCUUAAUUUAGGAGAUUAGGGUGUCAGCUUUGACAGUGUUGGUGAGAGGAUGUGGUUCUAUGUUACUUUAAUUUAGGAGAUUAGGGUGUCAGCUUUGACAGUGUUGGUGAGAGGAGGUGGUUCUAAGUUACCUUAAUUUAGGAGAUUAGGGUGUCAGCUUUGACAGUGUUGGUGAGAGGAGGUGGUUCUAUGUUACCUUAAUUUAGGAGAUUAGGGUGUCAGCUUUGACAGUGUUGGUGAGAGGAGGUGGUUCUAUGUUACCUUAAUUUAGGAGAUUAGGGUGUCAGCUUUGACAGUGUUGGUGAGAGGAGGUGGUUCUAUGUUACCUUAAUUUAGGAGAUUAGGGUGUCAGCUUUGACAGUGUUGGUGAGAGGAGGUGGUUCUAAGUUACCUUAAUUUAGGAGAUUAGGGUGUCAGCUUUGACAGUGUUGGUGAGAGGAGGUGGUUCUAAGUUACCUUAAUUUAGGAGAUUAGGGUGUCAGCUUUGACAGUGUUGGUGAGAGGAGAGCUGGUUCUAUGUUACCUUAAUUUAGGAGAUUAGGGUGUCAGCUUUGACAGUGUUGGUGAGAGGAGAGCUGGUUCUAAGUUACCUUAAUUUAGGAGAUUAGGGUGUCAGCUUUGACAGUGUUGGUGAGAGGAGAGCUGGUUGUUGUCUUAAAUUUGAAAAAAAAAAAAGACAAUACAAGGUCCCGAUGGCUUAACCUGAACUAAAAGCUCCUAGCUUUACAGUAAUGCUGGAAACUGACUUGAAAAUUAUAAAUUGAUAAAUCAAUAUCUUUGUUGCAGUGAUCAGAAGAAUUGAGUCACAACGCUGGAUGGCGAGGCCUAAAGUAGAAAACAGUGAUGAAUAAUUUAAUACUUAUUGAAAGAAAUAUUUAUUUAAAAAAUCACACAAAUUAAUAUUAAUACAAAUAUUAUUCAAAACAAUUAUUAAAAUUUAUGAGAGAUAGUUCUUUUUUCAGGCCUGUCAAAACCAAACGUUGGCGUCGAGACAGCUUUGUUUACCGGAGGUAUUCUUUUUCUGCUCGCGCAUGUGCGGGGGGCAGCGGGUGCAGUGUUGCCAGUGCCUGGUUGGUCCAAAAGUACCUAUGGUCGCGUCACUGGUUCUAUGUUACCUUAAUUUAGGAGAUUAGGGUGUCAGCUUUGACAGUGUUGGUGAGAGGAGAGCUGGUUCUAUGUUACCUUAAUUUAGGAGAUUAGGGUGUCAGCUUUGACAGUGUUGGUGAGAGGAGGUGGUUCUAUGUUACCUUAAUUUAGGAGAUUAGGGUGUCAGCUUUGACAGAGUUGGUGAGAGGAGAGCUGGUUCUAUGUUACCUUAAUUUAGGAGAUUAGGGUGUCAGCUUUGACAGUGUUGGUGAGAGGAGGUGGUUCUAUGUUACCUUAAUUUAGGAGAUCAGGGUGUCAGCUUUGACAGUGUUGGUGAGAGGAGAGCUGGUUCUAUGUUACCUUAAUUUAGGAGAUUAGGGCGUCAGCUUUGACAGUGUUGGUGAGAGGAGAGCUGGUUCUAUGUUACCUUAAUUUAGGAGAUUAGGGUGUCAGCUUUGACAGUGUUGGUGAGAGGAGGUGGUUCUAUGUUACCUUAAUUUAGGAGAUUAGGGUGUCAGCUUUGACAGUGUUGGUGAGAGGAGGUGGUUCUAUGUUACCUUAAUUUAGAGAUUAGGGUGUCAGCUUUGACAGUGUUGGUGAGAGGAGGUGGUUCUAUGUUACCUUAAUUUAGGAGAUCAGGGUGUCAGCUUUGACAGUGUUGGUGAGAGGAGAGGUGGUUCUAUGUUACCUUAAUUUAGGAGAUUAGGGUGUCAGCUUUGACAGUGUUGGUGAGAGGAGAGGUGGUUCUGUUACCUUAAUUUAGGAGAUUAGGGUGUCAGCUUUGACAGUGUUGGUGAGAGGAGGUGGUUCUAUGUUACCUUAAUUUAGGAGAUUAGGGUGUCAGCUUUGACAGUGUUGGUGAGAGGAGGUGGUUCUAUGUUACCUUAAUUUAGGAGAUUAGGGUGUCAGCUUUGACAGUGUUGGUGAGAGGAGGUGGUUCUAUGUUACCUUAAUUUAGGAGAUUAGGGUGUCAGCUUUGACAGUGUUGGUGAGAGGAGGUGGUUCUAUGUUACCUUAAUUUAGGAGAUUAGGGUGUCAGCUUUGACAGUGUUGGUGAGAGGAGAGGUGGUUCUAUGUUACCUUAAUUUAGGAGAUUAGGGUCUCAGCUUUGACAGUGUUGGUGAGAGGAGGUGGUUCUAUGUUACCUUAAUUUAGGAGAUUAGGGUGUCAGCUUUGACAGUGUUGGUGAGAGGAGAGGUGGUUCUAUGUUACCUUAAUUUAGGAGAUUAGGGUGUCAGCUUUGACAGUGUUGGUGAGAGGAGGUGGUUCUAUGUUACCUUAAUUUAGGAGAUUAGGGUGUCAGCUUUGACAGUGUUGGUGAGAGGAGAGGUGGUUCUAUGUUACCUUAAUUUAGGAGAUUAGGGCGUCAGCUUUGACAGUGUUGGUGAGAGGAGAGCUGGUUGUUGUCUUAAAUUUGAAAAAAAAAAAGACAAUACAAGGUCCCGAUGGCUUAACCUGAACUAAAAGCUCCUAGCUUUACAGUAAUGCUGGAAACUGACUUGAAAAUUAUAAAUUGAUAAAUCAAUAUCUUUGUUGCAGUGAUCAGAAGAAUUGAGUCACAACGCUGGAUGGCGAGGCCUAAAGUAGAAAACAGUGAUGAAUAAUUUAAUACUUAUUGAAAGAAAUAUUUAUUUAAAAAUCACACAAAUUAAUAUUAAUACAAAUAUUAUUUAAGAGGUCCACCCGGAGACCAAGGAGAGGAUAGAGGAAGAGACGCUGGAGAUGUCAAUGGAGGAGGAGCUGGAGCCCUGGGAGCGGGUGAUAGCUCCCCAAGUGUUACAGACCUUGAGGUCGAGAGCGUCGAGAAGGAUGUUAAUGAAAGAACCUUUAGAAUUCUGUUUUUGGGAGCUCCAACGGGAGGAAACAGCAUUGACAUCUCCAGCGAAGAGGAGGCGGGGAGGAGGUGGGGAGCCAAAGAGGGAGAUAAAGGAGUCGACGAUGGGGGAAAAAGAUGUCUUAUGGGGGAAGUAAACAGAGCAGAGAGUAAGGUGAAAGCCGGGGAUGUCAAGGAUUGCAAGGGUGCGGUUGGUGGUGGAGAGUCGUGGGAGGAAGAUGACGGGAAGGCUUUGAUUUAGAACUACAAUACAAGUGUUGCAGCGAUUAUUAGAGAUAGGAGCAUGGAGGUGGGAGGAGGAGGGGGUGGGGAAUGGGGAGGGAAGGGCAUUAUCGCGGACCGGAAGUUCUUGAAGGAGAAGGAUAUCGAUAUGGGAGGAUUGGGCGAAUUGUAACAAGGAAAGGUAGUCAGAGAGGGAUCGGUUACAGUUAAGCUGUAAAAAUUUUAACAUUUAAUGCAGGUUGUGGGUAUUAAGGAAUGUGGUUUCAGAGGCCUUGAUGACCGGGCAGGAGAGAGAGUCUGCCCGGUGUUGGCCGUUGCCGUUGCAGCGGAAACAUUUAGGGGGGAGGGUGGUGGCGGUGCAAUUGUUUGUAAUGUGGCCUUCGCCGCAAUGGAGGCAUCUGGGGGGUUUAUUGCAAAUUUCAUUGCAGUGACGGAUGUCCCCGCAAUUACGGCAGGGGUGUGUUGACCUGGUUCUGUCGAACCUGAUUGAGUUAUAUCCCAGAAAGAGACGGGUUCGAGAUUGCAGUUGGGUGGCAGUGUCGGAGUCGGUUUCGAUGACCGCGUGUGUGGAGUUGUUGCGGCCGGUAAAAGUUCUAAUUUUUUUUUAACAAGGAAUAUAAUAUUUUAUUUACAAAUUUACCAGUUACAACAGUGUAGACAAAGUGUAGACAGUGUAGUACUGAAAGAGAAACUUGUAUAUAUAUAUAAAAAAGGAGGGCAGAGUGGUAACAAGGAAUAUAAUAUUUUAUUUACAAAUUUACCAGUUACAACAGUGUAGACAAAGUGUAGACAGUGUAGUACUGAAAGAGAAACUUGUAUAUAUAUAUAAAAAAGGAGGGCAGAGUGGUAACAAGGAAUAUAAUAUUUUAUUUACAAAUUUACCAGUUACAACAGUGUAGACAAAGUGUAGACAGUGUAGUACUGAAAGAGAAACUUGUAUAUAUAUAUAAAAAAGGAGGGCAGAGUGGUAACAAGGAAUAUAAUAUUUUAUUUACAAAUUUACCAGUUACAACAGUGUAGACAAAGUGUAGACAGUGUAGUACUGAAAGAGAAACUUGUAUAUAUAUAUAAAAAAGGAGGGCAGAGUGGUAACAAGGAAUAUAAUAUUUUAUUUACAAAUUUACCAGUUACAACAGUGUAGACAAAGUGUAGACAGUGUAGUACUGAAAGAGAAACUUGUAGAGAAAGUAAGAUUGUCCCACUGCUCACAUACUAGAUGGUUUCUUUAACCUAACAGGUGAACUAACAAAAAAAAAAAAUUAAAUCAACAUUUUCAAAAUUUUUUUUUUUUUUUUUUUUGUCAGUUUUUGCAGUCAGUGCCGAUUGAUUGGGUGAUAAGGGAGGGCAGGUCGCAGAGUGGGAUAGUGUUGGGGAGGUUGAAGAGGGUAAAGCGGGGUUUAAAGGUGGGGGGGGGGGGGGGGGGGGGUUGACGCUGAUGUUUGUGCCAUUGGUGGCAUUUUUGAGCUUGGCGUAGAUAGAGUCCAUGCUAUUUUUGGAGUUAGUGUGGAUGAUGAUCUUAUUACGGGCGCGGAAGAUGUUAGUAAUUUGGGUGGAGGGAGUAUUGAGGGAGGAGAAGGAAAUUUUUAAGUUGAGGUUGUUGUCAAUGGGGGUGCAAGCAGAGGGGUCCUGGGUGAUGAGGAUGUGGAAGGGGUUGUUGCGGUUGGAAUGGGGAGGGGGGCGGCGGGAGGGUUGGGGGUUGAGUGUCGUGGGGGGGGUUGGUGGGGUGGGGGGUUAGCGGGAGGCGGUCGGGAGGCGACCCCGGCGAAAGAGUUAGGAAUGGGCAUGAGUGGAGUGGAAUGGGGUGAGGAGUUGGGUAGAGGGGUGGGGGGGGGGAGGAAGAUGGGGAGGUGGGUGAAAGCUGGGGGGGGGGAGGAACGUUUGGGGAGGGGUGAGGAGGGGGGGUGGAGGAGGCAGGGGGAGGCAUAGGUGGGCAGGGAGAGGGUGUUUGUAAUUUCUGUUCCAGGAGAUGGGUAAGGAGGUUUAUGGAGUUGUUGGCCUCGAGGAGGCGUUGUUGAUGAAUAUCCAAGAUGUGUGUAAAGGUUUUUUUUAGGGCAAAGCGGAAGUUAUCGGCAAGGGUGGGGUCAACAGAGUCAGCAAAAGGAGCAAGGAUGUGGUAGGCCCAGUUAAGAUGUUGGAGGUGUGAGGGGUUGUUGGUUGGAAACAUGUCGCAUGUGGGUGGAGGUGAUUCAAGGGUGUAGUGUUGUUGUGGUGGUUGGUGGAGAUGGGGUGGUGUGUGUACAUAUGUGGGUUGGGUAGGGUGAAGAGGGGUGGAGGAUCUCACCCCUGGUCGGCUGCAGAGGUCAAGGUUCCCGCCGAUGGUAGGGUCGAGCAGGGAGUUGAACAUGCUCGGGUGGUCGUCUUGGCGGGAGGAGUCGGUGUCAGGAAAGGAGGUGGAGAAGUCUUGGGAGGGGGGCGGAGAGCCACCUUUAGCUGAAGAGGUGUCGGAGGUGGGGGGGGCGGAGUGCCCCCUGGAGCUGAAGAGGUGUCAGAGGGCGCAGGCCGGAGCGGCGGCGGGAGGGUGCGCGGCAGCGGGCGGGCGAGCCGCCGGGUGUGUGGCGGCGGGCGGCAUGGCCGCCACUCGCAGGGGAGGGCGGUGGAGCCAGCGCGGCGGAGGUUGGAAGCACUCCAGGCAGUGGAGGGAGGUCGAGUGGCCAAGAGGUCUAGUGCACUGAUUGGACGCCCGCAGGAAAUUAAUCAGGGCGACAGACGGUGGCAGGCGGCCGCCCGGGAGGACCGAGGAAUUAAAAACGAACAAACGUUCGGCAACUGAAUUUGGCCAAUUAAUCCAGGGGGCAGGACAGGGUGGAGAUGGUCCCACGGCAGGGGAACCCGCGGGGAGAAGAAGGCAGCGGACCCCGUGAAGGGGCGGAGGCAGGAGCGCAGAAGGAGGAACCGCGCGGUCGGAGUCCGCGGCAACUAUCGCCGAUAUAAGAAUGUUUAACAAUCGAGUCUGCAGUGUUGCCGGAUCAACUUGUCAGUUCAAUCAUAACAUGCUUUCUUUAAACAAAAAUAAAAAAGGAUUGCAGUUCUCCUAGUCUCUAUAACGCAAAGGUUUUCUCACUGUUCUACCACUGCGGGUUCGCACACUAGGAGAAGUAGAUGAUUCUUCACCUUUCUUGGCAAUGUCCUCCCUUGGAUUACAUGCUCUUCUGUUUUCGGAAGUGGGUCUUUCAUGAUCUUGUAUGUUGUCAUCCAUGUAGGAAGCAGUUCCCUGGAGACCUGAAAGAAUAUUGUUUAUGCAUCGCUAGAAUACCUCCGAUGCACUGUUCAAUCCAUAGGGAAGUCGCUUGAACCGGAAUCUUCCAAAGGGAGUCGCAAUGGUGCACAGGUUGGUGCUUUCUUGUCUAAUGGGACUUGCCAGAAAGCUGAUGAUGCAUCAAAUACAGAGAAAACUGUAGCACCUUUCAGUUCAGAAAAUAUUGUUUCAGCUGUUGGCAGAAUAUAGCGCUCUCUCUGAACAUACUUGUUCAGUUCCCUGGGGUCCAUGCAAAUUCUGACAUCUCCAGAAGGUUUUUGUACCACUACAAUAGGGUGUGUCCAUUCGCUUGGUUCUUCAACUUUUUCAAUAAUGUCAAGUUUUUCCAUCCGUUCCAAUUCUGCUUUAACUUUUUCUCUAAUGGAAAAAGGAAUUUUUCUGCUUGAAUUUUUCAAAAUAAGGUUUUACAAAUAUAAAAAGGAAUUUUAGAUAUAUACAAGGCUAUUUACAAAGCUAACACCUGUGUUUCAAAGCACAGACUGGAUGCAAGCCUCUCUUGCACUUUGAACUUUGGUUCUAGACCUCCGCUUCAGGCCUUCUUUUGUACACUCCACACAUCUACUCUCUAUCUCUUUCUGGAAGUUUUUCGAGUACUUCCUGGCUUGUUGAAGGCAGAACUGGAGGUUUCAACUGAUUUUUAACUAAUUCAUUUAUUACUGAAUAGUUAAAAGCCCUUCUAGAAAGCUUGGGGUUGUCUUUGGUAUGCUGUUCAUAUAGGAUGAAAGAGUUUAGGAGAGCCCUGUGGAAGAUGUUGAGGAUCACUUUUCUAUAAAAUUUUCUUCCUUUUCUUUCAUCCAUAUAUGUAUACAAAAUUUGAUCAUUGAGAUCUACCCCUCCCAUGUAGCUAUCAUAGCAGAUUUUCAUCUGUGGGUAGUCUCUUUGGUCUGACGCCUUCUUUUUGCCAGAAGAAGCAUCACAAAAUGUUGAGAGAAACUUCACUGGAGGUUUGCUCUUCUUUUCUUUGUAAGGUUUGUUAAGGUUUUAGGAAGUCCCUUCCUAUUAGUUCUUAUAGUACCAGUCAAAUAAGUAUGACUGUCCAGUAAGUCCUUGGCUAGGUUGAUGCUGGUGAAAAAGUUAUCAGUUAUCAAAUGAUAACCUUUUCCAAGUAGACUGGAUUCCUGGAGCAGAUUCAUUGGAACAUCAUAGGAAAGGGACUUGAUAAUUGGAGAUAAUUUCCCUUUAUAUGGCUUCAUUCUCAGGCAAUAGCCAGUUUUAGAUUCACAAAGCAUCCACAGUUUGACUCCAAAUCGACCAUGGUGCUUUUGGGGCAUAUAUUGUCUAAGAUGAGUUCGGUUUUUUAGGCACACCAAGCUCUCAUCAACUGUAAGAUUUUGAGUAGGCUUAUAAUAAUUUAUAAACUUGUUGUUCACAUGCUCUAUGAGCUUCUCAAAUCUUGCAGUUGGGUUGUAAUCAGGAUGAGAACUUGGAACCAGGUUGGAGUCAUCAAUCAGAGAAAAGCAGCUGUAGAGCAACUCUCCCUCUAGACAUAACUUUACCAAACCAGGGCGUCUCUAAAAGUUCAUUCUUGCUCCAAUAGUCCCUGAUUUGGUUCUUCUUCACAUUGCCCAUAUUGAAGAUGACUCCAAUAAAGGCCAUCAUCUCAUCCAAGGUAGUGUCCUUCCAGGCCAGCUUCCUAGAAAAUGGAGGCAAUUUGUCCCUAUUGCUUGCCAAUAAAGUUUGGGCACAUUUAUUGGUAAAAGCCACAAUUUUCUUCAUCAAAUUCAUUGUAAUGAAUAACAAAAAGUAUUCAAUAGGCUGGAUAAUAGAGGGGGGAAGGUGCUGUGGGCCCCAAACUUCUCCAAAAGUCAAUGUUUUGGAUGUGGAAAAUGGAGUAUAAACUCUUACCCAAGGACUUGGCUGGUUUUCAUCCACUUCUUCAUUAGAAAAUUCAUCUUCAAAAGUGUCUUCAUCACUUUUUCAAACUCAGAAGACAAAGAAUAAACUUCAGUGUCCUCAGAAAAUGCAUAGCAUUCUGAACCGGAAGCCAUUUUAAAAAAAUUAAAAAUAAAAAAAGAAAAUCGCAAGACAAAGGAGAUAAAAACACAGCUAACGUGUAGAGACAAGCCUAGAAGUGAGAAGGGAGGUGAUAAAAAUAGCCAGCCACCACCCCCUCCCCCACGAGGGGCCCUACAAGGAAGUAGCGAUAGAAAGGUACCCCGGCACUCCUGGUGACGUUAUAGGGUAACGAUGGAUCGUUACCUUGGCGCUUAAAGGGUUAAGGACUUUUUCUAAAACAUCUCCCCACCAUACAUGAUGCUCUGCAUCUUUCUCAGAACUGGCUGGGCAUAGUAUAGGCCGUGAAGGAUCCGUUUUGGAAGGAGGAACAAUGAGCAAGACAGACAGUUCUGGUGGGACUAGGAGGGCAGGGAUGGAGAGGAUGUGUCCACAUGGUUGGAGUCAGUGGUGCCGUUAGCUAACCUCUGAAGAUGCAGGAGGGUACUAGGGGCCCACACUUUGAGGAAAGGGUUCAGCUUGGAGAAGAAAUAGGCGUACAGAUCAGGGAUGACCCCUGGGCUAGAGGCAUGGAGGAAUCAGCAUCAUCCCCUUUGAGCAAAGGGAAGCCCAGAUUUUGGGGGGGAGGUCAGGCUGGUCUGUGUGUACUGUGGAGAGGAUGGCAACGGGGUCAUUCUAGAGAUUGGAGUCCAGGAUGACAGCUUGGGCAGGAAAUGACGGGAGAUAGGUGGCUGAGCAAGGAAGUCUGGAAGGGGUGGGAAUGGUUUUGGGGGGCCCAGGAGGAGAGCGUGAGGGCCCAUGGUAAUCUGGUGGGGAACCCCCUUAGUGGUAGGUGUUGGAGCUGGGGUCUGGGAGAAAGAUUCCUCGAAGAUUGUGGUUGGACUGAAGUUUGCCUGGACAGACUUAGUCUUGAUU